RNAcentral lists this ribosomal RNA (211 nucleotides) under uncultured bacterium. RNAcentral describes it as "partial 16S ribosomal RNA". It matches the Rfam family "Bacterial small subunit ribosomal RNA", at positions 1289 to 1500 of the family's 1533-position model. The record is from RNAcentral.
CAGUUCAGAUUGCAGGCUGCAACUCGCCUGCAUGAAGUCGGAAUUGCUAGUAAUCGUAGGUCAGCAUACUACGGUGAAUACGUUCCCGGGCCUUGUACACACCGCCCGUCACACCAUGGGAGCCGGUAAUACCCGAAGUCAGUAGUCCAACCUCGUGAGGACGCUGCCGAAGGUAGGAUUGGCGACUGGGGUGAAGUCGUAACAAGGUACC